CGAGGCGGCCGGAUGGUCGCACGCCACAUCGGGGCUUCGCCCCGUCAAGGGCGUGAGGAAAGUCCGAGCUCCGCAGCGCAGGGUAGCGGGUAACACCCGCCCGCCGUGAGGCGAGGAACAGUGCCACAGUGACGAUGCCGGCCGGCGGCGCAAGUCGCGGGCCGGAGUGAAACGGGCAAACUCUACCCGGAGCAAGGCCAAGUAGGAGGGCGCAACCCGGUUCGCCGGGGGAGAGGCGCGCUGCCCAGCCCUCGGGUCGGCCGCAAGAGCCGUCGGGUAACCGGCGGCCUCAGAUGGAUGGCCAUCGCCGCGGGCUCGCGCAAGCGAUCCCGGGGCACAGAACUCGGCUUACAGGCCGCCUCGCUGA
This 367-nucleotide RNase P RNA is filed under the name Chloroflexota bacterium. Its description in RNAcentral is "RNase P RNA component class A". It matches the Rfam family "Bacterial RNase P class A". From Rfam's summary of the family: Ribonuclease P (RNase P) is a ubiquitous endoribonuclease, found in archaea, bacteria and eukarya as well as chloroplasts and mitochondria. Its best characterised activity is the generation of mature 5'-ends of tRNAs by cleaving the 5'-leader elements of precursor-tRNAs. Lineage: Bacteria; Bacillati; Chloroflexota. The record is from RNAcentral.